GACGAACGCUGGCGGCGUGCUUAACACAUGCAAGUCGAACGGAAAGGCCCUGCUUUUGUGGGGUGCUCGAGUGGCGAACGGGUGAGUAACACGUGAGUAACCUGCCCUUGACUUUGGGAUAACUUCAGGAAACUGGGGCUAAUACCGGAUAGGAGCUCCUGCUGCAUGGUGGGGGUUGGAAAGUUUCGGCGGUUGGGGAUGGACUCGCGGCUUAUCAGCUUGUUGGUGGGGUAGUGGCUUACCAAGGCUUUGACGGGUAGCCGGCCUGAGAGGGUGACCGGCUACAUUGGGACUGAGAUACGGCCCAGACUCCUACGGGAGGCAGCAGUGGGGAAUAUUGCACAAUGGGCGGGAGCCUGAUGCAGCAACGCCGCGUGCGGGAUGACGGCCUUCGGGUUGUAAACCGCUUUCGCCUGUGACGAAGCGUGAGUGACGGUAAUGAGUAAAGAAGCACCGGCUAACUACGUG
This 468-nucleotide ribosomal RNA is filed under the name uncultured bacterium. RNAcentral describes it as "partial 16S ribosomal RNA". It matches the Rfam family "Bacterial small subunit ribosomal RNA", at positions 28 to 507 of the family's 1533-position model. The record is from RNAcentral.